RNAcentral lists this ribosomal RNA (253 nucleotides) under uncultured bacterium. RNAcentral's name for it is "partial 16S ribosomal RNA". It matches the Rfam family "Bacterial small subunit ribosomal RNA", at positions 524 to 776 of the family's 1533-position model. The record is from RNAcentral.
UACGGGGGGGGCAAGCGUUGUUCGGAAUUACUGGGCGUAAAGGGCGCGUAGGCGGCCUUCUAAGUCAGACGUGAAAUCCCUCGGCUCAACCGAGGAACUGCGUCUGAUACUGGAAGGCUUGAAUCCGGGAGAGGGAUGUGGAAUUCCAGGUGUAGCGGUGAAAUGCGUAGAUAUCUGGAGGAACAUCGGUGGCGAAGGCGGCAUCCUGGACCGGUAUUGACGCUGAGGCGCGAAAGCUAGGGGAGCAAACGGG